CUAUUCUCUCCAUAUGACCAACUUCACCUUUAAUGAUGUAGGUGUUUACAGUUGCCUGGUAGUGGAGAGACAGAGUUGUGUUUAAUCUGUCCAUACCGGUGAUUUUUAAGCCAAAGUAUAGUCAGCCCCCAGUGGAAGAGGAGGCUGUACUUCACAAUGGGACAGAGGAAUGGGCCCAGGAAAGCCCAGUUGGAGGACUCACCAAAGUAUCACCAUCUCAAACCCAAUCAGGGCCUGGGGAAAUCCUUACUGACCAAGAGAAGCAGGCGGACUAUCUUGUGACUAGAGCAUCGUCAUGAAAUUACACCCUGGUCAUCCCACCCCUGAUGCCCAAACACUCAGGGUAUUACUUGUGCAUAAAAGUGUCCCCACUAAAAAUCUUCAGAAUAUAUCAUCUGCCGGUGUGCCCCAAAUCUGAGCCCCUCAUAGAGUUCUUCUCAGAGGGAGGGGAGGUUGCUCUCAGAUGUAACUCUGAUGUCAAGGAGUAUGAUAGGUUAGUGUGGUACUGAAAGACUGCUACGGUGGACAACGCUUUUCUGAUAGGGAGGAGUGACAUACCUACAAAUAGAGAUGAUGAGUACAAACAAAUGCCUGAAGGUGUAGACGGCAGAUUGAAUGCAUCUCCCCCUUCCGUCUCUCUGGUCCUCUCUAACCUCUCACAGGAGGACAGUGGGGAGUACUGUUGUGCUGUCAUGUCUAAGACAGUCUGUUUAUCAAUAACUACAACCUUCUUGAUCAACGGGGAGAGGGGCCCCUUUGGCAUCGACUCCACGUUCUAUGCAGUUGACUCUUCACUGAUGGCCUGUGCUCUGCUGGAGAGUGUCUGUGCUGUAAUCACGGUGAACCUGAAGACCAGGAGAAGAGACCAGGCUACCCUGAAGGCCCGAAGGACUGCAACCAAGAUGCAGGGGCAGCAGAACAGCAGAGGGGAAGAGGAGAGUGAAGAAGAGAGGGAAGAGACAGGACAGUGAAGCGUAAAAGGUCCAAAUCAGUCGUGACAGAAUCCCGCACCUGAACACUUAUGGAGUCAGCAGGAGCAGAAGCGCCGUCCAUGGCUGAGCAGGUCUCCCAACAUGCCGGCCUCCUCCACCGCCUAGGCUCGGACAUGGAUCAGGUGUUGGCCCGGUUGGAGAGCUGGGAGAGAGGUGCCUCCCCAGCCGGACCAGCUCCAGUCCCUCACCCUGCGCCCCUACCCACACCCACUGAAGCGGGUGCCAGCGGGAUCCGGAUUUCACCUCCCAGGGAGUUCGAUGGGACGGCCGCUGGGUCCAAG
This 1273-nucleotide long non-coding RNA is filed under the name Salmo salar (Atlantic salmon). RNAcentral's name for it is "lncRNA (ENSSSAG00000107813.1)". The record is from RNAcentral. Lineage: Eukaryota; Metazoa; Chordata; Actinopteri; Salmoniformes; Salmonidae.